This 254-nucleotide ribosomal RNA is filed under the name uncultured bacterium. RNAcentral's name for it is "partial 16S ribosomal RNA". It matches the Rfam family "Bacterial small subunit ribosomal RNA", at positions 524 to 776 of the family's 1533-position model. The record is from RNAcentral.
UACGGGGGGGGCAAGCGGUGUUCGGAAUUACUGGGCGUAAAGGGCUCGUAGGCGGCCAACUAAGUCAGACGUGAAAUCCCUCGGCUUAACCGGGGAACUGCGUCUGAUACUGGAUGGCUUGAGGUUGGGAGAGGGAUGCGGAAUUCCAGGUGUAGCGGUGAAAUGCGUAGAUAUCUGGAGGAACACCGGUGGCGAAGGCGGCAUCCUGGGCCAAUUCUGACGCUGAGUGAGCGAAAGCCAGGGGAGCAAACGGG